UACGUAGGGUGCGAGCGUUGUCCGGAAUUAUUGGGCGUAAAGAGCUCGUAGGCGGUUUGUCACGUCUGCUGUGAAAACUGGAGGCUCAACCUCCAGCCUGCAGUGGGUACGGGCAGACUAGAGUGUGGUAGGGGAGACUGGAAUUCCUGGUGUAGCGGUGAAAUGCGCAGAUAUCAGGAGGAACACCGAUGGCGAAGGCAGGUCUCUGGGCCAUAACUGACGCUGAGAAGCGAAAGCAUGGGGAGCGAACAGG
This 253-nucleotide ribosomal RNA is filed under the name uncultured bacterium. RNAcentral describes it as "partial 16S ribosomal RNA". It matches the Rfam family "Bacterial small subunit ribosomal RNA", at positions 524 to 776 of the family's 1533-position model. The record is from RNAcentral.